Uranotaenia lowii is the source of this 779-nucleotide long non-coding RNA. RefSeq lists it as uncharacterized. The record is from RefSeq and is a predicted model, not a curated record. The transcript has 4 exons. Lineage: Eukaryota; Metazoa; Arthropoda; Insecta; Diptera; Culicidae.
UCACAGUUUUGAUUCUGGAAAUUAAAUUUGCAAAGAUUUUUUCACGAGUGAUUAAUGUUUGCAAAACACCGAAGGUUUUUUUCAGUGUUGAACCGCUUCGCAAUUCGCGUACACUGUGGCCGGCCUUCAAAAACGAACUUGCGAAAUUCAUCCGGUGAAUGAAUAUUUCGCUUCGCAGUUCGCUUCGCGCUCACUGUGUUCGUGAUUCCGAAAAACUCCGGGAAUUGGACCGGAAAAACCUUGACAGCACUGAAAGAUUUUCACACCGAGGCCGACAACAAAGAGAGCGAUAAAGCUCGACAAACUCCAUCAUCCGACCGGACAAAAAUCGGAGCAGUUCCAGCGGAAACAAGGUGAACACUCCGCCGGAACAACCAGCACCACAUCAUCAAGAGUCACAGCAGUAAACAUACUUGGCGGAAAAAAAACAUCGUUCAAAUUGUGUUUUGUUCAAGUGAGCAGAACACACGACUUCCUGGAUCGCACCAAAAGUAACCUCCGAUGGCCCCUAAAUAUUCUUCCGAGGAGCACCACGGGCUACGAAAUCAGAAGAAUCGGACAGAAGAAAAAGCAAUGCCUUUACGGAAAACCCGAACGUUAGGAAUUCCGUGAAAAAGUGCGGAUAAAAUGGUUUUGUUCAUUCUCCCGAAGUUACCAUCUGUUGACGGUUGCAUUUCGCCGGAUCAGCAGAGUCGGGUAAAAAAGCUCUUACCAUUCAAGGUGAUCAGUGGUUCAAGAGUCCCCGGAAUAAAGCUUCAAUGGUUCCGAAGACUAUCGCG